AUUUAACGCUGGCGGCAGGCCUAACACAUGCAAGUCGAACGGUAACAGGAAGACGCUUGCUUCUUUGCUGACGAGUGGCGGACGGGUGAGUAAUGUCUGGGAAACUGCCUGAUGGAGGGGGAUAACUACUGGAAACGGUAGCUAAUACCGCAUAACGUCGCAAGACCAAAGAGGGGGACCUUCGGGCCUCUUGCCCUCGGAUGUGCCCAGAUGGGAUUAGCUAGUAGGUGGGGUAACGGCUCACCUAGGCGACGAUCCCUAGCUGGUCUGAGAGGAUGACCAGCCACACUGGAACUGAGACACGGUCCAGACUCCUACGGGAGGCAGCAGUGGGGAAUAUUGCACAAUGGGCGCAAGCCUGAUGCAGCCAUGCCGCGUGUAUGAAGAAGGCCUUCGGGUUGUAAAGUACUUUCAGCGGGGAGGAAGGGAGUAAAGUUAAUACCUUUGCUCAUUGACGUUACCCGCAGAAGAAGCACCGGCUAACUCCGUG
Molecule: ribosomal RNA, 490 nt
Filed under: uncultured bacterium
Lineage: Bacteria
Description: partial 16S ribosomal RNA
Rfam family: Bacterial small subunit ribosomal RNA
Source: RNAcentral